UGUCAUGUGAUUCUCUGAGGGAGCAGCUGCAUGAGUGGAGAUGCUUUCAGUGGAGAAUGGACUGGACCCCCAGGCUGCCAUCCCGGUCAUCAAGAAGAAGCUGGUGGGAUCCGUGAAGGCCUUGCAGAAGCAGUACGUGUCCCUGGACACGGUGGUCACUAGUGAAGACAGAGAUGCCAACACCAUGUGCAGCGCCCUGGAGGCCGUAUUUAUCCAUGGCCUGCACGCCAAGCACAUCCGAGCUGAGGCCGGAGGAAAAAGGAAGAAAAGUGCCCACCAGAAGCCUCUGCCCCAGCCUGUCUUCUGGCCCCUCCUGAAAGCUGUCACCCACAAACACAUCAUCUCCGAGUUGGAGCACCUGACGUUUGUCAACACGGAUGUGGGCCGCUGCCGGGCAUGGCUGCGGCUGGCCCUGAACGAUGGCCUGAUGGAGUGCUACCUGAAGCUGCUGCUGCAGGAGCAGGCCCGCUUGCAUGAGUACUACCAGCCCACCGCCCUGCUCCGGGAUGCUGAGGAGGGCGAGUUCCUCCUUAGCUUCCUGCAGGGCCUCACGUCCUUGUCCUUCGAACUCUCCUACAAGUCUGCCAUCUUAAAUGAGUGGACGCUCACCCCACUGGCCCUGUCUGGGCUUUGCCCGCUUUCUGAGCUGGACCCUCUCUCUACCUCUGGUGCAGAACUACAGCGGAAGGAAUCUCUGGAUUCCAUUUCCCAUUCUUCAGGCUCUGAAGACAUCGAAGUCCAUCACUCGGGCCAUAAGAUACGGAGGAACCAGAGGCUGACUGCCUCCUCCCUCAGCCUGGACACGGCCAGUUCAUCCCAGCUGUCCUGCAGCCUAAACUCUGAUAGCUGCUUACUCCAAGAGAAUGGCUCCAAGAGUCCAGACCAUUGCGAGGAGCCCAUGUCCUGUGACUCAGACCUGGGCACAGCAAAUGCUGAGGACUCAGACCGGUCUCUGCAAGAGGUAUUGUUGGAAUUCAGCAAAGCCCAGGUAAACUCUGUGCCAACCAACGGACUGAGCCAAGAAACGGAGAUCCCCACACCACAGGCCUCGCUCUCCCUCCAUGGCCUCAACACCAGCACACACCUGCACUGUGAGGCACCUGCAGAGCCCCUUCCUGCCCAGGCAGCCUCUGGAACUCAAGAUGGUGUCCACGUGCAGGAGCCGCGUCCCCAGGCGCCGCGUCCCCAGGCGCCCAGCCCCCUGGACUUACAGCAGCCUGUAGAGAGCACGUCAGGCCAGCAGCCUUCUAGUACUGUCAGCGAGACAGCCAGAGAAGUGGGCCAAGGGAAUGGCCUGCAGAAGGCCCAGGCUCAUGACGGAGCUGGUCUGAAGCUGGUAGUUUCCUCACCCACCAGUCCGAAAAACAAGAGCUGGAUCUCAGAGGAUGACUUCUACCGGCCUUCCCGGGAGCAACCCCUGGAGAGUGCUUCAGACCACCCAAUAGCUUCUUACAGGGGGACUCCAGAGUCAAGGCCUGGUCUCCACAGGCAUUUUUCUCAAGAACCAAGAAAAAACUGCUCCCUGGGGGCGUUAGACCAAGCGUGUGUACCUUCCCCAGGAAGAAGGCAAGCCCAGGCAGCCCCAUCCCAGGGGCAUAAGAGCUUCCGGGUGGUACACCGGAGGCAGAUGGGACUGUCCAACCCAUUCCGGGGUCUCAUGAAGCUGGGCACCGUGGAGCAGCGGGGGGCAAUGGGCAUCUGGAAGGAGCUCUUCUGCGAGCUCUCCCCGCUGGAGUUCCGCCUCUACCUGAGCAACGAGGAGCACACCUGUGUGGAGAACUGCUCCCUGCUUCGCUGUGAGUCUGUGGGGCCAGCCCAUAGUGACGGGCGCUUUGAGCUGGUCUUCUCUGGCAAGAAGCUGGCCCUGCGCGCCUCCUCCCAGGACGAAGCUGAGGACUGGCUGGACCGGGUGCGGGAGGCCCUGCAGAAGGUCCGGCCUCAGCAGGAGGAUGAGUGGGUGAACGUGCAGUACCCAGACCAGCCUGAGGAACCCCCGGAGGCGCCCCAGGGCUGCCUCUCUCCCUCAGACCUGCUCUCGGAGCCCGCGGCUCUCCAGGGCACACAGUUUGACUGGUCGUCCGCCCAGGUUCCAGAGCCAGAUGCCAUCAAGGAGUCCCUGCUGUACUUGUACAUGGACAGGACCUGGAUGCCCUAUAUAUUUUCUCUGUCCUUGGAGGCUCUGAAAUGUUUCCGCAUCAGGAACAAUGAGAAGAUGCUGAGUGACAGCCACGGUGUGGAGACCAUCCGGGACAUCCUGCCAGACACCAGCCUUGGGGGCCCAUCCUUCUUCAAAAUCAUCACGGCCAAGGCUGUCCUGAAGCUGCAGGCCGGAAACGCCGAGGAAGCCGCCCUGUGGAGGGAUCUGGUCCGCAAAGUCCUGGCAUCCUACUUGGAGACAGCCGAGGAGGCGGUGACCCUGGGCGGGAGCCUGGAUGAAAACUGUCAGGAGGUGCUGAAAUUUGCCACCCGGGAGAAUGGCUUCCUGCUGCAGUACCUGGUGGCUAUCCCCAUGGAGAAAGGCCUUGACUCCCAAGGCUGCUUCUGCGCAGGCUGCUCCCGGCAGAUCGGCUUCUCCUUUGUACGACCCAAGCUCUGUGCCUUCUCUGGCCUCUAUUACUGUGACAUCUGCCACCAAGACGAUGCCUCAGUGAUUCCGGCCAGGAUCAUCCACAACUGGGACCUCACCAAGCGCCCGAUGGAAUUUCACUCUUGUUGCCCAGGCUGGAGUGCAAUGGCACGAUCUUGGCUCACCACAACCUCCACCUCCCAGGUUCAAGGGAUUCUCCUGCCUCAGCCUCCCGAGUAGCUGGGAUUACAGUUUUGGCUUCGUGAUCACGUAAACCAAGAGUCACAAACUGAAAUGCCAUCAAGGGGCCAAGCAGAGAUGGGGUCUCACUCUGUCACCUAGGCUGGAGUGCAGUGGCUCAGUCAUGGCUCACCUCCCCCUCAACCUCCUGGGCUCAAGCAAUCCUCCUGCCUCAGCCUCCCAAGUAGCUGAGACUACAGGCACUCACCACCAUGGCCAGCUAAUUUUUAUUUUUUUUUGUAGAGAUGGGGGUCUUGUUAUGUUGCCCUGGCUGGUCUCCAAAUAUUGGCCUUAAGUGAUCCUUCCACCUCAGCCUCCCAAAAGCGCCACUGCACUACAGCCUGGGCGACAGAGUAAGAUUCCAUCUCAAAAAAUAAAAAUAAAGAUAAUACACACACACAUAUAUACACAUACACCUCUUUAUUUCUUCAGCGAGACCUGAAGAUAUAUAUCCAUAAUAUAAGAACAGGAUGCUAUAAAAAAUGAACAAUAAGAAAACAAGAAAAACUAUUAUAAAUUAGAAAUAUGAUAACCAAGGCUGGGUACGGUGGCUCACGCCUGUAAUCUAUUACAGGCGUGAGCCAGUGAGCCUGGCCAUUCAAUAACUAUUUUCUUAAUGAACAUUGAGGGUGAGAUGAGCAGAAACGUAACUGCUAAAAGCAGGCAACAUUCAGCUACCAGGAUUUAUGAGGGAGAACACAGUAAACUGUGCUAUUACUUAGGAAUACCUAGAGUCAAUGUACAUUUAUUUUCAUUUUACUCUAGCCCCACUGGUGAUCUCUGCCCAGUAAUCUAACUAAAUUGAUGACAGUGGGAAUGAAAGGAAAUCAUAGAUAUGUAUUAUUGUAAAGGAAAAGAAAUGCAAAUGAAUGGGUGGAGACAGUCUGUACAAUUGAAGAUCUCAUCUCUUCAUAUAUAUAUACAUAUAUAUAUAUAUAUAUUUUUUUUUUCAAGACAGGAUCUUAGCACCUACUAUUUGCAAGACUCCCCCUAUGUUAACCUUUACAGCAACUCUCGGAGGGAUGUUUUAUUAUUGAGAGAACUGAGAGACAGAGGUCAUUAAAUAUUUGUCCAAGAUCCUACAGCCGCAACAUGGUAAAUCCACUGCUAUUGGAACUUCCUGUUAAGUGAGUUCUAUGGCCCCAAACUGCAUUCCCACCCAUGUUGCUCACAGAUUGGUCACAAUGUGGCUCACCGUCACAGGCACAGGUGAAUGGAUCAACCAUUAUUUUCGAUAAUGAUUCUGGGGUAUCAUCUUUGACUCAAAAACGCAAACUGUUAUUAUUAUCUAUGCAGUCUACAGCCCUCUGCUCUACCAGCUGAGCUAUCGAAGAGUGCACAAGCUGUUAUUAUAUCACAAGAUUUUUUUUUUCAGACAGGGUCUUAUUCUGUGGCCCAGGCUGAAGUGAAGUGGCUCGAUGGUAGCUCACUGCAGCCUUGAACUCCUGGGGUCAAGCGAUCCUCCUACCUCAGCCUCCCAAGUAGCUGAAACUACAGGCAGGCACCACUAUGCCUGGCUGACUUUUGUAUUUUUUGUAGAGACGGGGUUUCGCCGUGUUGCCAGGCUAAUCUGCAACUCCUGGGCUCAAGCAUUCUGCCCACUUCACCCUCCCAAAGUGCUGGGAUUUCAGGCUAGAGCCACCAUGCCCAGCCCACAAGAUCUAAACGCUACUGUUGAAGCAAAAAGACUUGAAGACAGAAUUUGCCCUCCUAAUAUAAGCCCAUGGUAACCUGAACCUCCUUCACCCUAACUCUCAUCACAGUGUAUUGUGAUUGCUUAUUGAAGAUGAAAUUUGAUUUUCCUUUUUGAUGUUACUUCUCCAGCACAGUACCUGGUAUGUGGAAGGCACUCAAACUAGGGCCAACCUGGUGCCAGCUAACCUGGGACUAGUGCAAGCUCCUGAAAUUCACCUGGUCAAGGGACACAUGUUCACAGGAUCUCCUGGGGUUGUGUCACCAAAAAAAAAAAAAAUUUCACCUGGUGUCUCUAGUCACCAUGAUUUUCUCUAAAAUGCCACACAGAAUUCUAUGUAUGGAAUUUUUUUCUUUUCUUUUUUCUUUCUUUCUUUUUCUUUUCUUUUUUUGAGACAGUCUGUCGCCAGUCUGGAGUGCAGUGGCGUGAUCUUGGCUCACUGCAGUCUCCUCCUCCCGGGUUCAAGCGGUUCUCCUGCCUCACCCUCCCGAGUAGCUAGGACUACAGGUCCGUGCCACCACGCCCAGCUAAUUUUUGUAUUUUUAGUGGAGAUGGGGUUUCACCAUGUUGGCAAGGAUGGUCUAGAACUCUUGACCUUGUGAUCUGCCCGCCUCAGCCUCCCAAAGUGCUGGGAUUACAGGCGUGAGCCACCGCGCCCGGCCAAAAUUUCUUAAAAAUAAGGAAAGUUCAAGUUUACUUUAGAUACCAUAGUUCAGGAUUUAAACUCCUGUCCUUACUUUGGAAUGUCAUUUUAGAUACUUAUGUGAUUGACUGAGGAAAAAGACAUUGUAACUGAUCUUAUCCCCUUUUAAAAAAAAAACCAGCUAACAAUUAUUCAUUUAGUCUUCUGUACAUUGUAUGAAAUAAAAUAUAGAAGACUAGGGGACAGUUUCUGCCCUCAAGGAGCUUAUGUGGUUUUUUUCGUGCGUUUUUUUGUUGUUGUUGUUUUGUUUUUGUUGUUGUUGUUGUUUUGACAGGUUCUUACACUGUCACCCAGGCUGAAAUGCAGUGGUGAGAUCUCGGCUGACUGCAACCUCUGCCUCCCAGGCUCAAGUGACCCUCACCUCAGUCUCCUGAGUAGCUGGGACUACAGGCAUGCACCAUCAUGCCCAGCUAAUUUUUGUGUGUGUGUUUUUGUAGAGACGAGGUCUCGCCAUGUUGCCCAGGCUGGUCUCGAACUCCUGGCUUCAAGUGAUUCACCUGCCUCAGCCUCUCAAAGUGCUGCGAUUACAGUCAUGAGCCACCUCACCCCGCCAGUCAGGCUCUUAAA
Gorilla gorilla gorilla (western lowland gorilla) is the source of this 5769-nucleotide RNA transcript. It is a transcript of the gene named pleckstrin homology domain-containing family M member 1, with no coding region annotated. The transcript is spliced from 10 exons. The record is from RefSeq and is a predicted model, not a curated record. Lineage: Eukaryota; Metazoa; Chordata; Mammalia; Primates; Hominidae.